This is a long non-coding RNA of Struthio camelus australis, 2415 nucleotides long. The record is from Ensembl. Lineage: Eukaryota; Metazoa; Chordata; Aves; Struthioniformes; Struthionidae.
AUUUGAUCUCUGUUGGUCGGCUAUUAUUAGAGGCAGGCAAGCCGUUCACAGUUGAACUAGACACAACUUAUUUAAAAAAUGUAGUCUAAUUUCUGUUUGCAGAUUACCCCCAAUGAAGUCAUGUUUUUAUGGGGUUAUUUAUGUUCUGUGUUCCAUGAGCUGUGCGUGCAAACAAACGUAACCAGUAACGGCCUCUUAAGAAAGUCACCCAGAGGGGUCACGUGCAGAGGGAUGGCCCGUCAGAGGGAGCUGCAGUCAUGUUCUAGCCUGGCUCACCGAACUGGCUCUGUGGGGGGUCAUAGGAGCUCACUGGCUGCUACAGGAGAGGAAAAAGAGGAAGAGAUGAGAACCAGAAGAAGAUCAAUGUCAGCUCCAGAUGGUGGUUUUCUGGGCUGGAGGCAAUGGAGACAAGUGGAUGCAGUGACCGAAUUCACAGCGAGCCCACCGAGUGCAGGAGUGUGACCAUGUUCACAGCGAGCGUGACUUGUCCAGCAUUCUUCUGAGUGAUUACACAUGCAGGGGGGAUUUCUGGAAACCAUUCAACCAUCUCAUGCUACUGAAAUCAGGCCUAGCACUGGCUGGACUCAGAUUUUUGGAACCCUAUGUUAGUGAUACUGUGUCCAUAAACCAAGGCAGCAGCAUACCAGGAAUAUAGAUUACCACAUAAUUCACAGGCAAGACCUUCACAUCAGCAGUGGGAGGAAUUGUGUGUCCUUUCUCCUGAACCAGGUAGCAGUAAUAGGAGGGGAGCAGUUACCCUCUGACAACUGAAAAAGAAGGUAGGAUGUGAAACAAACACUUCAGAGCAUUUUAAGGAGAGUUGGGCACAACUUGCCAAGUUGGUGUCAGGAUUUCAAGCAUGGAGGUGUUCAGAUAAGGGUCUUCAGUCCUUGCAACAUAUGGGCCGAGGUAAUACAUUGCGCCAGAACAUGGGUGGCCAGUGAGCAUGGUCCAAAGACAGCUCAGUUUUUAAUCUCUGAUGUAGGCCAAUGUACAUACAGGCUGAUUUCAUGAAGUGCCUUGUGAGUCCCUUACGUGAUCCCCUGCUUCCUGGGGCCCCAGUGAUGCAGGGACAUCUGAACUAGCUUGAUGCACAGCCCAGUGGAAUGCAUUAGCAAGGGCCUCAGAUACACAGAAGUGAGUACAUUGCUUCUGGAGUCGCAUCGACUUUGGAAACAGUGUAGUGUUUUUGAGAGGCUUGGACUGCCGUUGAACUGCUGCAAAGGAUCUGCUCCAGUUUCUGAAUCCGCAGCAUGGAUAAUCCUCAACCUAGAUAAAUAGUCCCUAGCUAACAAAACUAACUGAAUUCGUGAUUACUGUUACUAGCAACCAUUACUACUAUUACAAGCACAGAUGCUACAUGAGCACCUAAAAAUCUAGUCAUAGAACAGAAUUGCAUUGCCCCAUGCACUAUCCAAACACAGAUAAACCCACAACUGCACUGUAAAGGAGCAAAACCUACAGAAGAACAUGGCUGGACAGACACUGGGGCGACAGGAGGAAAUAACGAGACAACACUGGACAUCCUGCAAGGCUGUGGCAGCUAUAUAGUGGGGGCCAGUAAGUUCCAUUUUCUUUUCAAGCAUGGCAAAGGAAAAUUUCAGUGAAGGUUUGCGAUAAAGAUAAUAAGUGAGCUUUGGAAAUAUUUAUGGGGAGUUCCUGCCAAGAUUAAAUGCAGCAGGGGAGAAAGCAUGGGAAGGCAUGUUUGAACACUUACAGGGUAGACAAUUAAGGCAACCAUCAUUGACAUAGCAGAGGUCAAUACGCCUGUACCAAAUAGGUAAGAGUGUUAGGCAACGAAGAGUCCCUGAGGAACUAUAAAACACUGUCCCCUUCUAAGCGAUUCUCUUAUUCUGAUGCGGUUGGAACUAUUUUAACCCUUAGAGUUGGUCCAGUCUUCCUGUUAUCAGUGCCAGCUACUUACUAACUCUCACAUGCUUCCUUAUUACCCUUUGACAUGAUGUUAAGGAGAGCCUGAGAUAACGAAACAGAUCAAAAAAGACGGGUUUGUUUAAACAGGGUUUCAUAGCCAGUAUACUAUUUUCACAGGUAACAAAAUCUGACAGAUAAAAUCUGCAUGUAGAUACCUAGCUGAAGACAAACUGAGCUUUCACCCGCUGUAUUUGAAAUGAAUUAUUAUACAGACAGUAUUACAAAUCAAGGGAGAACACACAGGUAUUCUGGAACUUCAAUGCUGAAGCAAAAUUUUGUCUUUGCUACAGUCAAAUCAUGCAAUGGCUGUGCUGAGGCUGGGUUUUUUUGCAAGUUGUCUAAUGAGUAAAUAGGACAUAGGCAGUUUUCAGCCUUUACUCAGACUGACAUGAGUCAUUUAAAGAGUCCAGUGGCUCCUCUGAAGCGUACUUAAUUGGAAUGCAGACAAAUAAAAUGCUGAUGUGGCUAAUUAAUGAAGAACUU